GUACACUCCUGCGGGAGGCAGCAGUGGGGAAUAUUGAACAAUGGGCGCAAGCCUGAUCCAGCCAUGCCGCGUGAGUGAUGAAGGCCCUAGGGUUGUAAAGCUCUUUCACCGGAGAAGAUAAUGACGGUAUCCGGAGAAGAAGCCCCGGCUAACUUCGUGCCAGCAGCCGCGGUAAUACGAAGGGGGCUAGCGUUGUUCGGAAUUACUGGGCGUAAAGCGCACGUAGGCGGAUCGAUCAGUCAGGGGUGAAAUCCCAGGGCUCAACCCUGGAACUGCCUUUGAUACUGUCGAUCUGGAGUAUGGAAGAGGUGAGUGGAAUUCCGAGUGUAGAGGUGAAAUUCGUAGAUAUUCGGAGGAACACCAGUGGCGAAGGCGGCUCACUGGUCCAUUACUGACGCUGAGGUGCGAAAGCGUGGGGAGCAAACAGGAUUAGAAACCCGGGUAGUCCC
This 449-nucleotide ribosomal RNA is filed under the name uncultured organism. RNAcentral's name for it is "partial 16S ribosomal RNA". It matches the Rfam family "Bacterial small subunit ribosomal RNA", at positions 331 to 797 of the family's 1533-position model. The record is from RNAcentral.